This 18-nucleotide small nuclear RNA is filed under the name Arabidopsis thaliana (thale cress). RNAcentral's name for it is "snRNA_17482". The record is from RNAcentral. Lineage: Eukaryota; Viridiplantae; Streptophyta; Magnoliopsida; Brassicales; Brassicaceae.
UAUCACAUUUGCUCUUGA